CCUACGGGAGGCAGCAGUGGGGAAUCUUGCGCAAUGGGCGAAAGCCUGACGCAGCCGUGCCGCGUGAAUGAUGAAGGUCUUAGGAUUGUAAAAUUCUUUCACCGGGGACGAUAAUGACGGUACCCGGAGAAGAAGCCCCGGCUAACUUCGUGCCAGCAGCCGCGGUAAUACGAAGGGGGCUAGCGUUGCUCGGAAUUACUGGGCGUAAAGGGAGCGUAGGCGGAUAGUUUAGUCAGAGGUGAAAGCCCAGGGCUCAACCUUGGAAUUGCCUUUGAUACUGGCUAUCUUGAGUAUGGGAGAGGUAUGCGGAACUCCGAGUGUAGAGGUGAAAUUCGUAGAUAUUCGGAAGAACACCAGUGGCGAAGGCGGCAUACUGGCCCAUUACUGACGCUGAGGCUCGAAAGCGUGGGGAGCAAACAGGAUUAGAUACCCUGGUAGUCCACGCUGUAAACGAUGAGUGCUAGUUGUCGGCAUGCAUGCAUGUCGGUGACGCAGCUAACGCAUUAAGCACUCCGCCUGGGGAGUACGGUCGCAAGNUUAAAACUUAAAUGAAUUGACGGCUGAGACGNGCGAGACGACGACGAGGGAGAGG
RNAcentral lists this ribosomal RNA (592 nucleotides) under uncultured bacterium. RNAcentral's name for it is "bacterial SSU rRNA". It matches the Rfam family "Bacterial small subunit ribosomal RNA", at positions 338 to 947 of the family's 1533-position model. The record is from RNAcentral.